CUUUUUUUUGUGAUAAUUAACCGAAUGCAGCAGCCGAUAUAGGAUACAUGUGGGUCAAUAAUUAACAACUGACUAAACCACAUUUUGUUACAAGUUAUGUGUGAUACCAAACUAGUAGCGAGCCAUAUGUAGCAGCUAGUCUAUGCUAGCUGAUAACGCCACUUGCCAAUAUUCCAGCAGCAGCAGCCCCCCCGGUUCACGUAGCCUGCAAAACACUCACCCAACACGGCAAACCAAGUGAGGAGCAACAGCGAGCCACGAGCCAUGGAUAGUUUCAUCAUUUCCGUCGUGUCACCGCAGACAGUACAACUGCACUGACUGUACUAGCUUUAGCGUUUGUGCCCCGGUGACGCAGAAAGCCUGUGGAGAUGAAGCGACAGACAGAUGGAUGGAGCUCGGCCGCGGCCGGCGCAGUGCUUAUCUUUGACAACACCCCAAGAGAUCCAUUGGUGUGAGGACAGCGUGGCCGAGUGUGGGCUGCCACUGCAGCUUCCUCCCACUGUGCUUCCCUAAGUAGAACAGCUUGAACACUUCCUGGAGUUUUACCAUCUCAAAAAGAAAACAAAACAGUACUUUAAAGGCAAGUGGACCUCCAUGGGCAAGUAUGAAGGCCAGUAACCCACGGUCAGGAUGUUGACUGUUAAUUCAAUGUUGCUUGGCUCACUCUGGUUUUGCAUGUACUGAGAGGAAAUACCACAAUUUAAGGCACACAAUUUGCAUGACCUUGUGCAUUUUCAUGUUACGUUUUCAAAGUGACAGUAUGUGGAAAGAGAAUGUAAAUACCUGUUUGAAUUGGAUCAUGAUGUCUUUGGAGAGUUCCAUGUCCUUAAACAUCCCUUCUAGCUUACUGGUAAAUGCUGCUCCACAUUCUGUAUGAAGGAAACAGCACAAACAUAACCAAAACGAAGCAUGGCCUGCCACGGGAGCUGCUAAGGCAGUUCUACACAGCGGUCAUCGAAUCAGUCGUGUGUUCUUCCAUCACAGUCUGGUUUGAUGCUGCUACAAAAAAGGACAAACUCCGACUGCAACGAACAAUCAAAACCGCUGAAAGGAUUGUUGGUACCCCCCUACCCACCCUUGAGGACUUGCACGCUGCCAGAACUAAGACAAGAGCGUGCAAAAUCCUCUCGGACCCUUCGCAUCCCGGUCACCAGCUCUUCCAGCUCCUUCCCUCAGAUUUCAUCUUCUACGUGUUGCAACGUGAAUGUAACCUGCCCAAGGCCUUCAGAAUCCCGAGUGCUGGCGUCAAACGCACACACCACUGAAAUGGUCUAACCCUGGGGUGUCAAACAGUCACGGGCCACAAUGUUGGUAAGGUUAUGACCAUGAAACCAUGUAAAUGUUUCAUCGCCUGAUCAUAAUUAUACACAACAAAAUGAUGGAUAACUAGUUUUCCAAUCAGAAGUCAAGGACAAUAGUUUGUUCAACAAUUGUUCAAGUUAUCAUAAAAAAGGGGUUUGAUAUCAAACAAAAAAGUGCUUGCAAUAUCUCAACAUUAUUUAUUACAUAUUAUGAUGUGGAAUUUUGGUACAGAUUUUAGCAAGAGUCAUGAAAAUUGACACAAAUGAUUUGCUUUUGCCGGCCACAAAAUUAUGUGGCGGGCCCGAUGUGGCCCCCGGGCUAUGAGUUUGACAUGCCUGCUAUUUGGUUUUAUACUCCAGGACGACCCUAGUAAGGAUAAAGCGGGAUAGAAAAUCGAUGGAUAGAUAUCCAUUUGAUACUCUCUUUAUCUGAGAGGAGUUCCUUGACGAUAAAUUUUUUUUGGGUUUUAACUAUUUGAUUUCACAUCUUAUCAAAUUAUUUAUUGGUGUCUUUUGUGUUAAUGUGGUUUACUUGUUCAACUCUGUCGUAUGACGUUAAUGAAAUCUCACCCCAUAAGAUUCUGAAAAGUAUUCCUGUAGACGUCUUUGCCUCAGAUCAAAUAAGAGGUCCGUCUGCGUUCUUUUCGUCGUUGUCAUUCGCCAGUCACUUUCAUUUUUUGCAGUCAGAUUUGCGCUGACACAAGUACGAGUUCUUCGGCAAUGCGUCUUCAUUCAAUCAACAACAAACAGGGCUUCCAAAAUUAGCAGUAACAGUUACUGGUCCUUAAAAUGGACGAGCAGAUGCAUAAGUAGCUAUGUAGCCUUUGAAAGUGGUACCUGACUGGCUGUCGUAUUCCCACCCACCCCAGCACUGAGUACUGUGUAGUUAAUACAAAUAAGAAGACGCUCCUCAUGGAAUUACGUGGUCAUGUUUGGCUGAUGCCUUUGUGCGGCCAAUGUCAUGCUGACUUCAAAUUGAUCCCGGGGCCCAGAAACUUGACGGCUGAUCUAAGCAAUCAGAUUUUAGAUUCACUACAGUGCACCUUCACACAGGCAGUCACGUUGGCAUUUUUCACAUCCUCUUGAUUGGUUCAGGUAAAUAGACCUUUAAUUGGUUGACCUGAGUAUGCGCAUGAGAUGGAUUUACUGCAGAGGACAACGUGGGACAUGAUUAAAAUAAUAUUUCCAGGUGCGCUUUUCAAAGAAGAAUUCUACUUUGUGAAGCUAGGUCAACCAAGAUAGUUACUGUCUGGCCUGUUUCAACCCAGAAAAGGUUUUUUGGGUACUUUCAGAGUAGCAUGUAUGAGCACGACAGCUUGCUUACACAGACAGGCAGGAGAAAAGAAUGGAGGUCUCUGCGUCUGUCAGCAUCUCCGGUGAGUAUGAUGUAUUUUAGUUAAAGUUGUUAUGUUUUUGUCAUGUUAUUAGAUCAAUAUUGAUUAUGAACAGAUAUAUUAUAGUGGAUACACUACAACCUCUAUAGAAGUUUGGAUUUGUUUGAAUUUGAUGUAUUGGAAGAUAAAGGUAACUGUGUUUCUUGCUUUAUAAUGGUAUUCAUGCUCAAAUAUGCAAAAUGCCCCUCUCUUGCCACACAUAGUACUAUAGCGUUUUUGUACAUUACUUUGGAAGGUGUUACUGUUAUUAAGAAGAGGCCCAGGUCCGAAACUCACCACCUGCCCCUGGGGUUUAACAUUAAAAUGAUAAGACAAGAACAUAUACUACACAUUUGGACAAAAAACGGCUUUUGUAAAUUUUUACAUAUUUUUUUACCAAGUCAAUCUCCAGACAUAAACGGUGUAAAGCAUGCAUUUUAACUGUUAAAGAGGAGACUGAAGGACGUAGGCCCCCAAAAUAAAAACUGAAAGCGGCUGCAGUGAACGUUGCAACGUGUCAAGUGGUAGAAAUCUUUGUUAAAUUUUCUGAAAAAACAUGGAAUGAGCACUUCUAACACCUCUUAAGUCUUAUAUAACAAAUAAAUUCCCCCCAAAAACCUAUUGAUUACUAAAGUAAAAGACCUAUAACCACACUACUCUUCUUACAAAUUAUGUUCUAUUUGCGCUAUUUAAGUAGAGUUUUUAGGGAAAGGGUCACAGUGUUUGAAACAUCUUGAUAAUGUUGAUGCAUCGACUUGGAGAAGGCCUAGGAAUUUCACCCCAUAACAGCUUAUUGGUGGAUAUUUUUAACUGAAACUUGUAAGUUACUCAGUUUUUGGACCAGAUUUCCUAUAAGCGAUAUUAUACCAAAAUGUUACCCAAAAAAGCAUUUUUUUCCAAACACAAAAAGCUCAAUUUCACUGAAACCCAUCAUCUGAUUUUCAAAAAAUUCAAAGCAGACUUAGCAUUUUGACACACUGUCAUUUCUAGAAAAUCUUGUCACGUUGCUAGUGAAAGCCUGGAAAAGGCUUGAUGUAGUUAUUGCAAGUGAAUUACGUCUUAUUUCCUUUAUUUUAAAUUUAUUUCAGUUCCUUUGCCUAUAAAUGUUGUUUUCCAUUACUAAUAAUGCUGUCUUCAAAAUGGUGUCUCCGAUCCAGAUUUAAAUACAUGGAAA
Phycodurus eques (leafy seadragon) is the source of this 3848-nucleotide long non-coding RNA. RefSeq lists it as uncharacterized. NCBI's taxonomy places the organism in Eukaryota, Metazoa, Chordata, Actinopteri, Syngnathiformes, Syngnathidae. The record is from RefSeq and is a predicted model, not a curated record. The transcript is spliced from 5 exons.